AUUGAACGCUGGCGGCAUGGCUAAAACAUGCAAGUCGAACGCGAAAGGGAGCAAUCCCAAGUAGAGUGGCGAAAGGGCGAGGAAUAAAUUCCUACGUACCCCAAGGUCGGGGAUACCUCGGAGAAAUCCGAAUCAAUACCCGAUGUGGUCCGCAAGGAUCAAAGGCUUGCUGCCUUGGGAGCGGGGAAUUUCCUAUCAGGUAGUUGGUAAGGUAAUGGCUUACCAAGCCUAAGACGGGUAGCGGGUGUGAGAGCACGGCCCGCCGCAUCGAGACUGAGACACUGCUCGGACUCCUACGGGAGGCUGCAGUAACGAAUCUUCCGCAAUGCGCGAAAGCGUGACGGGGCAAUGCCGCGUGCAGGAUGAAGCCCUUCGGGGUGUAAACUGCUGUCAGGGUGCAGGAACUCAAUGACCAUACCCAAAGGAAGCACCGGCUAACUCUGUG
Molecule: ribosomal RNA, 445 nt
Filed under: uncultured organism
Description: bacterial SSU rRNA
Rfam family: Bacterial small subunit ribosomal RNA
Source: RNAcentral